Molecule: ribosomal RNA, 224 nt
Filed under: uncultured fungus
Lineage: Eukaryota; Fungi
Description: partial small subunit ribosomal RNA
Rfam family: Eukaryotic small subunit ribosomal RNA (bases 100-224)
Source: RNAcentral
GAUUAAUGAGAAUUUAAGGUCUAUCUUAUGAUAUGUAUCUAAUUCUCAUUUCCUUCUUUUUGAAAACAUUUCCUUAAUUUAUUAGGGAUCAAAAUGUUUCAAAUCUUUUACUGUGAAGAAAUUAGAGUGUUCAAAGCAGGCGUAACUUAGCUUUUGAAUAUAUUAGCAUGGGAUAAUGAAAUAGGAUUUUAGUUCUACUUUCGUUGGUUUCUAGGGCUAAAAUA